UGCGUAGGAACUAUUUUGUGUUACAUAUGUACUACUUUCUGGUAUGUGCUUUCUGGCCGGGCCUGAAUUAGUGGUGUUACACCUUAACUGCAACUUAAAAUAACCACUGGUUUUUCAAAAAUCUUAAACAUGUAUACUGUAGCGUGUAUUAACCCUCAAUUUUAAAUACAAAAUCAUGUACGUUUGAAAUUAGACUGAAAAUGGUCUACAUAUAUUUCUACUUCACUGAAAGUUUCAUUUCUGCAAAUCUGUUUGUUAUGACAUCAAAGGGAUUUUUUUUGCGAGGGAAUGGCUACUUUUACACAUGUCUUUAAAGUCAUGAUAAACAAGUGACCGGCGAAAAAUAAUGUUAUUCCAAUACUUGAACCAAUGCAUACAAACAUCAUAAACUUAGUCUUCUGUGCACGAUUUUAUCAUUUUUUCGCAAAAAUUUCGUACAAUCGUCAAUUUUUUUUUCAAUCGGUCAGUGUUGUGAAAAUAUGGCAGGUAAUUAAAGUUCGUGUUUUAAAGCCGAAGUUUAACGAUUGUCACCUGUUUGUCAACAAUAGACAAAAAAACAUGGAUAUUGAGCACGUGUUUAACAGGUACAAUCAUAUAUUAAUUUAUUUCAAGGACAUCUAUGCGUAUUGCGUUCACCGGAUUUUUACGAGAUGGAUCACACGGAGGUCACUUUCCAUACGGAAACUAUGUCGGGGAAUUGCUUCCAGGAAGGAAGCAAUUAAAAUAAAGUAAACUUCUUCUAAAUAUGAACAAAUUAAAGAAUUUUCUUCAGAAAAAAGUAUAUGUAC
This 788-nucleotide long non-coding RNA is filed under the name Mytilus galloprovincialis (Mediterranean mussel). The record is from RNAcentral. Lineage: Eukaryota; Metazoa; Mollusca; Bivalvia; Mytilida; Mytilidae.